GACGGAGGUCCCUAGCGUUGUUCGGAAUCACUGGGCUUAAAGCGCGUGUAGGCGGAACGGUGAGUACCUUGUGAAAUCCCCGGUCUCAAGCCGGGAACUGCUUGGUAUACUAUCGUUCUUGAGGCAGGUAGGGGUCACUGGAACCUUAGGUGGAGCGGUGAAAUGCGUAGAUAUCUAAGGGAACGCCUGUGGCGAAAGCGGGUGACUGGGCCUGUCCUGACGCUGAGACGCGAAAGCGUAGGGAG
RNAcentral lists this ribosomal RNA (245 nucleotides) under uncultured bacterium. RNAcentral describes it as "partial 16S ribosomal RNA". It matches the Rfam family "Bacterial small subunit ribosomal RNA", at positions 524 to 768 of the family's 1533-position model. The record is from RNAcentral.